UUAUUCAAGCACUACUCAAUUCACAUCUUCUUUCUUGAUUUAUUCUUUCAGAGACUACACCUGUUGGUUUGGCUUGCAGCUGGAAUUGGAGAGGAAAUUUAUUUCCAUGAAUGGAGAAGUGUCAGAGUGAGCAGGCACGUGGCACCUGAAGCCUGGGAACAGGCUCACGAGAAUAACGUCGAGGCGAAAUGACUGUCAGAGACUUUAGAAGAUCAAACACCCAACCAAACGCAUUUCCUACAAAUAAUAUGGAGGAAGCAGAGACAGAUGUGCAAUGCAGCUUGACUGGGGGGCAGGAGUCCUUGGGCUGGUUCCAGCUUUGCCUCCUGCUAAAUGUCGCAUCCUUGGUAAGUCACAUAUCCUCUAGGUGUUUCAGUUUGGUCAUCUUUAAAAUGGGAUAAUUAUAUCCACUUUGCCUAUUGAACAGAGGACAUACGUGUUUUGGUAUGUUGACAUAUAUAAGGUGGGAGGGAAUGUGGUUUAUGAGGAUGAAGCCCUUGGCCAGUGGCCUGGGCAGCUCAGCUGGCAUCCUCAGGGUAUAAUUAGAGGGACUUGAAGGUCAUCUAAAUGCUUCCCUCCAUUAACCCUAACAUUUCCACGUUUAGAUUUGUUUUUCAGGAUCCCAUAGGAAAUUUGUGUAUUUUAUGGGUUAUUGACUGAAUGAAGUCAGAUUUCUAUUUAGCUUUAGCUCUGUUCCAUUUUUGCUAAAACUUUUGAAGAAAAUGAAUUACGUCUUAUUAAGUUUAGACUGCUACUAGCUUGGAUAUGGUUUGUAAAUUAGAAUAUCUUUUCAGAACAUAAUGUCACGGUAGGAAUUUUCAGGGGAGCAUAUCUUCUGUGUCUGUUCUGUGUGGUCCACAGUUCACUGGUCUACGUCAGCACAGAUCUGGUCACCUUUUAAUGCUUCAGGGCAUGUGGCCUUUUAGGAGAGAAAUAGGGCUCUCAGGUGAGAGCCCUGGGCCUGGGAUCAAUGCUGUGGACCUCGAAGGCAAGAGGAGCUGGUGCCAAUAUGUUGAUGCUCAUGCCACCUGCUGUGUCGUGAGUAAUACAGUCCUUUGUUUCUGACCCAGGAGCUCAUGUCUCCUGCCAGCAUCCAUAAAGUAGAAUCAGGCUAAUCUGUUUGUGUGUAAGUGGCAUAAAGUCAUAUCUUAGACCUGACAUCUAGCUUCCUGAAUCCUGGGCGGAGCUCCUUCCACAGGAACGCCUUCUAUAAAUACCUCGACCCAAGGAGAAGGAAAAGUAGUCACAAAGCUCAUCUGGUGAUAUGACUGGAUCUGCUCCACGUUCCUUCCUUUUGAUUUUCUGGGCCUGGGCCUCUGUUAGCAAGCCUUCGGUAGGUAUCAAUGGUGGGUAGUUGACUGGCUCAUUGGUAAAUAGAGAUCCCUAGAGGCCAGUGGAGGCCAGCCAGUGGAAGUGAUAAGGAGGGAGCUGGGAAGAAGAGGGAGAAGGGGAGACAGAGGAUCAUUUGGCAAAGACAUUUACUGUCCCUUUACCAUUUUCUGUACCUGUCACACCAUGACAAAAGGAAUAAGGGUGGUGAAGUUGCUCUGCUGAGACAGCAGCAUCCUUGAGGAUCUAGGGAAUGGGGGACGGACGGCAGGGCUGGUGGCCUGUGGGGGGCACCGUGUGAGAGAGGAGGACUGCUGGAAGGAGAGCUCACUUGGGGAGAGAUCCCACUGUGCGGUCAGGUAGAAGAGGGGAAGCGAGGCCAGGGCAGUGUCAUGAUCUCACCCAGAAAAUAUUGAAGUUCAUUUUCACCUUGCUGGCUACUGCCCUUGUAAGAAUCCUAAAGAAAUCUUAGCCAGUGCGGAGAGCUCUAACCAGAAGUGAGUGUUCCAGGCCCUUUAAGCCUGAUGAGCCUCCUCACACAUGGUCCACAGAACGUGAGGCCAGCUCUCCCCAAGAAGUCUGAAAUGAUAGCAGGUGUUUUUCAAAAUAACUUUCCCUUUAUUGACUAAAGUAGAUAGGCCUCUGUCAUAAAAACUUUAAUUGCUCAUCAAAUAUUUGGCUAAAAUUGAGUCAUUUUCUUUCAGGGGAAGUUAGCAUUCUUAAAUCACUAGCAAAUGAGAGGUUUGUAAAAAAUUUACCAAAGCACUCUUUGUGUGUAUACACAAUGGUUAAUGGUCAAUAAAUAGAUACUUUAUUGCCUGGAGGUUCUGUCU
RNAcentral lists this long non-coding RNA (2162 nucleotides) under Ursus maritimus (polar bear). Its description in RNAcentral is "lncRNA (ENSUMAG00000018623.1)". Lineage: Eukaryota; Metazoa; Chordata; Mammalia; Carnivora; Ursidae. The record is from RNAcentral.